Molecule: long non-coding RNA, 1849 nt
Organism: Zingiber officinale
Lineage: Eukaryota; Viridiplantae; Streptophyta; Magnoliopsida; Zingiberales; Zingiberaceae
Exons: 5
Source: RefSeq, a predicted model, not a curated record
AAAAGCUGAGAUUCUCGACGGGGAAGAAAAAGAGGGGCCGGUGCUUGUGCCCGGUAUCGUCCCUGUUUCGCCCCUUUUGCUGCAUACGUUGUCGGGAAUUUGAUCUGCUUCGAGUUUGGUUGAGGAUCCGUGGCGAGGUACAAGAGAAGGCUUACUGUAAUAGUGGAGGAAACGAGAUGACAAAAGGGCAGCUUGAACAGGAAUUUCAUAAUCGGUACAAGGAAAAAAGUAGACAAAGCCGGAAAAUACAAGGCAGAACUACAAAUGUGGGUGUAGGAUGAAGCUGAAGUAUCUAGUCUCAUAUCCAAGCUUGGGGAAUGAGGAACAUUUGCCCAGAUGAAAUGAUAAAUAGAAUUGCACAAGCAUCUCGUACAGAGGGAGAGGAGUCACAUACUCUAUCCAUUGAUGCGAUUAAUGACAUUUAUUAUGAUGUCGUCGGUGGAAGGAAGAAGACCUCUCUCUACGGCCUUGGCUCCCAAGACAAACUUGUUUUUGAUCGUAUGAGGCCUCCUCCUUGAUCAAGAGUUGUCCUAGGUCCUCGUCAUCUAGUGAGGUACAAGAGUUGCAACAAGAAAAUCGAGAAUUGAGGGAUCAGGUUGUGACAUUAGAGUAGUCGAUGAUUGCUCGAGACGCUAGAGCUGAAGAGAAGUAUCACUAUAUGUGUGCCGUGGCAGCUUAGUUCACUCCAACGUAGGAGCAACAGCCGCAUCGUUUUGAGUCCCAGGAUAUCGAGAAUCCCAAUGAUACCCUGAUGAGUAGCUCAUUUUAAGUGGAUGAUAUUUCUAUCACCAUCUGCAGAUAUAUCCAAAAUUUUUGAACUAAGGAGAAGAAAUGGUAUAUUGAAAAGGUGGUUGAUUCCUAAAUGAGUUUGCCAUGGCUGCCUGUAAUUGAUGGUAUCACUAUGGUCAAAAUCCCACUUUUCCUCUUAGAAAAAGAAAAGUGAAAAAUUAAGCACAGUUUGUGGAAAAUGGAAACACCAAUGCCUUGUUUGAAACAGUAGUGUUGCAAUCAGUUACAGUAAGCUUACAGAGAAAGAAAACUCCACAGACAGUCAUCAUGGACUCUCUUCAAAGGUCUGAGGCAAGAAAAUGAGAACAGACGAUGUUUAUGACAUGCUUUGGUUUGCCUCAUCUUAGAUGGUCUAUUAUUUCACAAAAGAGGAAGAAUUGAAGGUAUCUACAGAGUGUGGAGUGAUGUUGAAAUGGAUUUAUCAGGUAUGACGUAAUCAGUUUUUAUGUUGUGCUGGGCGAACACAAGACCAAGCCAGAUUUAUUAUGACAUAACUCAAUUUUCUAGAUAGUAUGGUUGGCCUGAUUCCCGCUUUAUUAGAGCAAAAGGUGAUAUCGUUCAUUUCAAGCAGUUUAAUAUCAUCGGUCUCAUCGCAAGAUACAGACAGUUAAAUUAUGUGAGACAUUUUAUGCUAACACAACGGUCAUUUGAAUACUAUAUCCUUAAGUACUCAUGAUUCUUAGUUAAAAUAAACGUCACUUUCUUUAUUAUACUGUCGAAUAAGAGUAUAAUUAAUACAUUUAUUCAGACAACACCCCCUAGAAAUUACACUAUCAGAAACGUGAGACGAACAUUGCUCACAUUGAAAAAACACCUCACAGUACACAGGAACAAACUUUCUUUGCCAGACCAGUGGAUCAUAAGAUGGCUUUGGAUCCAAUUUGUUCAGAUUAUGUCUCUUAAGUGGCCUUUGCCUGGUCAUUUGCACGAUGCAAAAGCCUAAAAUCUCUUUUAAGCAGUGCAAUAAACCAAGCAAAUCUUCCACUAAUACGAAAAGAACACCAUGUAGCAGUGUUGUGUUGGGAUCUCAUACCACAUCACCAUUAAUUUAUAUUCUCAA